AUUGAACGCUGGCGGCAGGCCUAACACAUGCAAGUCGAGCGAGCGGCGGACGGGUGAGUAAUGUAUGGGGAACUGCCUGAUGGAGGGGGAUAACUACUGGAAACGGUAGCUAAUACCGCAUACCAUCAGAUGUACCCAUAUGGGAUUAGCUGGUAGGUGAGGUAACGGCUCACCUAGGCGACGAUCCCUAGCUGGUCUGAGAGGAUGAUCAGCCAAACUGGGACUGGUACACGGCCCAGACUCCUACGGGAGGCAGCAGGGGGGAAUAUUGCACAAUGGGCGCAAGCCUGAUGCAGCCAUGCCGCGUGUAUGAAGAAGGCCUGCGGGUUGUAAAGUACUUUCAGCGGGGAGGCGUUACCGCCAGAAGAAGCACCGGCUAACUCCGUGCCAGCAGCCGCGGUAAUUC
This 406-nucleotide ribosomal RNA is filed under the name uncultured bacterium. RNAcentral's name for it is "partial 16S ribosomal RNA". It matches the Rfam family "Bacterial small subunit ribosomal RNA", at positions 30 to 526 of the family's 1533-position model. The record is from RNAcentral.